RNAcentral lists this long non-coding RNA (1089 nucleotides) under Gadus morhua (Atlantic cod). RNAcentral's name for it is "lncRNA (ENSGMOG00000034069.1)". The record is from RNAcentral. Lineage: Eukaryota; Metazoa; Chordata; Actinopteri; Gadiformes; Gadidae.
AAAGGCUAGAUUCCACCGGAGGCGUACGCGCCGCGGGACGGCUGCGCCGCGGUCACCGCUGCUGAUCGCUUCCACUCUAAUCAAUGAGACCAUUUCCACCGGGCGCGCCGCGGAACGUUUCAGCAGCGUCCCAGGAGCGGCGUGCCGCGGCGCGGCGCUAUCUUUCCGUCCAAUUCUAUUUUUGCCGCGAGCCGCUGCUAAACCGCGUCAAUUUCGACAGAGCAGGUCGAGCCGGGCAGGAAGUGAAAAGUAAAAGCAAUAGAGCAUCCGGUCAAUUAAAACACAAUACUCAGCUCAUGUAACUUCACAUCAACAUUAUUACGUCAUGACCGGUGGCACCAGGUCAGCAGUCAAUCAAUCAAAAGGUCUCAGAGGGUCAGCAACGUGCACGACGAGAGAUUCAUUGUCGAAGUUCAGCAACAUGAAGUCAUUUAUGUACCAAAUCCUCCUUUUUUAAUGUCAGAAAGGACAAAGCGUGGCAUUUAAUUGCAAUAGUUUUGGUAGUGGAAGGUGAGUACAUUAGGUUUAGGAUUAGCGCGUGAUCUCGCGUGAAUGCGGCUGUCUCGCAAGGCAGCGCAACGCUGCCGUUACGCGCCCGGUAGGAAUGGACGCAGGGCAGAGGACGCAGCCGUUCCGCGGCGCGUACGCAUGUUGCUGAACUUCGACAAUGAAGGCCUCCACACACCGGCGCCGCAGCGGCGCGGCGCGCAUUUUACGCGCGUCAAAAGCACGCCCCUAGCACCAACAGGAGGCGGCGCGACGGCCGCGCUGCAGUAUAAAAUCAGGAAGUCACCUGUCAAUCAACCGCAGCAAAGAGACGAAACGCAAUGGGUUGAAUUUGAGAUUCUGGAGGUGAGUCUUGUUUCUUUGUGGUGUCAACAGAGCAGCAGCCCGUGUUCCAAGGUCCCCAAAAUUCUAUCUAAGGACUUCGUUGAGUCCACUGCCACCAGCCCCCCCCCCCCCACCUCUCCCUCAUGCUCCUCCACCCCAGGCACCUCUUCCACCACCCCAGACACCCUUUCCAAGAGGAGAGUGCCAGGGAGCAGGCGAGGCAUGAGGAGAGCGAGGCAAAGUUGGCGGAAUGGUUGA